RNAcentral lists this small RNA (580 nucleotides) under Pan troglodytes (chimpanzee). Its description in RNAcentral is "processed transcript". Lineage: Eukaryota; Metazoa; Chordata; Mammalia; Primates; Hominidae. The record is from RNAcentral.
AGCAGUGAAUGAUCGGGCCACUGGGUGACAAAGUGAGACCCCAUCUUGAAAAAAACAAGAAAAAACCAGAAAAGUCAAAUUAUGGCUUUUUAAGCUCGAUAGAGGCUUUCUGCAAUUCUUCAUGAUCUGAUGGGUGCAGCAUCUACUAAACCGUCUGUUAGGUGAACAGGGGCUGAGGUAUGUCAAAAUUAGUAUUUCAGAAUCUGGCUAACUCCAGGAUGUGUUGCUUAGGAUGCCUGGUGUGCAGGAGUAUAUACAACAGCCUAUUCUCAAUGGUCUGCGGGAUAAGGCUUCAUAUGUCAGGAGAGUGGCAGUCCUUGGAUGUGCCAAGAUGCAUAAUCUUCAUGGAGACUCUGAAGUAGAUGGUGCCCUGGUAAAUGAAUUAUACAGUUUGCUGCGUGACCAGGAUCCAAUUGUAGUUGUGAACUGCUUGAGGUCUCUAGAGGAAAUUCUGAAACAGGAAGGAGGCGUUGUCAUCAAUAAGCCCAUUGCUCACCAUCUCUUAAAUCGAAUGUCAAAACUGGACCAAUGGGGCCAGGCUGAAGUAUUGAACUUUCUGCUACGCUACCAACCCCGCAGU